ACCUACGGGCGGCUGCAGUGAGGAAUCUUCCACAAUGGGCGAAAGCCUGAUGGAGCAACGCCGCGUGCAGGAUGAAGGCCUUCGGGUUGUAAACUGCUUUUAUGAGUGAAGAAUAUGACGGUAACUCAUGAAUAAGCACCGGCUAACUACGUGCCAGCAGCCGCGGUCAUACGUAGGGUGCAAGCAUUAUCCGGAGUGACUGGGCGUAAAGAGUUGCGUAGGCGGUUAGUAAAGUGAAUAGUGAAACCUGGUGGAUCAACCAUACAGACUAUUAUUCAAACUCACUAACUCGAGAAUGGUAGAGGUAACUGGAAUUUCUUGUGUAGGAGUGAAAUCCGUAGAUAUAAGAAGGAACACCAAUGGCGUAGGCAGGUUACUGGACCAUUUCUGACGCUAAGGCACGAAAGCGUGGGGAGCGAACCGGAUUAGAUACCCGGGUAGUCC
Molecule: ribosomal RNA, 444 nt
Filed under: uncultured bacterium
Lineage: Bacteria
Description: bacterial SSU rRNA
Rfam family: Bacterial small subunit ribosomal RNA
Source: RNAcentral